Molecule: RNA transcript, 6777 nt
Organism: Planococcus citri (citrus mealybug)
Lineage: Eukaryota; Metazoa; Arthropoda; Insecta; Hemiptera; Pseudococcidae
Exons: 4
Source: RefSeq, a predicted model, not a curated record
UCAUACAUGGUGCUUACUUUUGCCAUGGUUAUUUUUAUACAAUAAUAUCAUGGAAGCUUGUAACGUAUGCUGAUCUGGUCUGUUUUUGCAUUAUUUAAUCAAGAGCCGAAAAUUUUAACGUAAUUUUAAAAAAAAAUUAAUUUUUUAAAGUAACGUAAAUUUUUUACAUUUUUAUUCGAUUGAAAUAUUUUUUUUUUCAAAAGUAUAUUUGACAUUUUUUCAUUAGGAAAUGCGAUGAUGAUCAAUUCUAAUUUUUUUUUUGCUGACUUGUUCAUGCUUAUUUUUGGGCUCUUUGAUUACUCAUUUUUUCUGGAGUAAUUUUAUGAUCGAAUCAACCCAGAUGACACCAUAGAUCUGAGAGAAUGCUUGGCUGGAAUUUUACCAUAAUUUUUUUGUUGGAAUAUCGACGACACGCACGUGUCAUUUUUACUCCUGUUCGAUGCCCGAAUUUUUGUGCUUGCAUAUCGUCGAUUCACAAGUGUAUUACAGGAUGGCAUAACUAUUGUGGCGCAGGCGCUCGUACCUAAACAGUGGCGCUCUCUUUGGCACUCUGUGACAUUCAAUAGUGUUCGUGGUGUUCGUCAGAUAGAAUAUUACGGUGCAUUUUUGCCGCAAUGCAAUCACGUUUUACGUUUUUUUUUAUUCCUAAGCACCCUACAAGGGUGUUCUUUUCUGCACGUAAUGCAGUUUUUUUUUUUUUUUUGGAAGUCUCGACAUUAGCUGCGUUUUUUUUUCUGUGUGUGAAUCUAUAGCUCUUACAGGAGCUGAUUAUAUGUGUGUGGUGGUACAUGUGUUUUUUUUUAUUUCGCUGUACCGGCGUGUUUUUUUUAUUGUGUGGCUUCAACGAAAUGCGAAGGUUAACGCCCUAUAUACGAUGAUGUGAAUUUUAUUUUAAAAUGGAUUAGACUUAUCGGGACGAAUAGAGGAUCCGAAAGAAUGCGAUAACGACGAAGGAGACUGGAAUGUGGCCAUUUUGCGAAUCUUCAGCAAUAAUAUUCACAUUAUGACAGGAAUUUCUUGCUGUAGCAUUCUUCAUCUGGAUUUAUAAUAAUUAUUAUCAGAGGCAUUUGCAACAAAAAAAAUGUGGUUCGAGAGACAUUUUGCCAAAUUUCUGAGCCAACUUCGUGUUGAACAAAUACUCGAGAAGAAAAUAUGCAAAACUGUUACCAAUUACCAUGACAUCGGUCGAUUGACUCUGAAUCUACCUCAAGCGUUACGAAGGAUUCGGUUGUUAUUUUGGGAGAACGAGACAACGAGUACUUCGAAACGUUGAAUCAGAUUCCGGCGACGAUGAUUGUACCGUCGAUAUCAAGCAACCUGUAUCUUUCAGCCUCGUUGAAAUGGCACGAAACGAUGUCCACCUACGAGUAAGGUCGAAAAAUUUCCAAGUAAUGUAGAAUCUAGGUAUUACAGUGUUGAAAAAACAAUUUAAUAAUUGUUUCAUUUAUAUAAUGGGUUAAUGAUUAUUGGCGUGAUACGCACACUCGCACAGAAUGGACUCGUACGCACGGCUAGUCGGCUACUACACGGUGAAAAGUACACUCUCAUUCGCACGAAUUGGAAUUAUUGUUCUACGGCAUAUCUCUGUGAGCUGAGCAGUGAGCAGCGUGAUAGCGUACGUAGGUAAUUUUUCGUGUUUUUUUCUCGUCUCUGACGUAUUAAGGCUGGCGUCAUUAUUUCCUAAUUUGUGGAGCUCUCUCGUAUAACGAUCAUUAUUUGUAGGUAUGGCGCGUAUAUGUUGUUGAACUUUGUACGUUCUAUUAAGUAUAUUUAAUACUACAGAAAUGCACGUGAACGCUGAAAUGGUCGUGUUCGUAGUCGUAGCCGUGGCGAUAGCUGGCUCACCGUGAAUCUGUGUAUGUAUGUUCUUUCGUUGGUUGUUCGGUUGGUGGUUUUCUCGAUGGUAUUGUUUCGUUCUAGACAGAUUUUCGAUGAAUUUGUUCAACUCGUGUCGUGUCAACUGGGUCGUCAACGAGCAUUGUGUUGCUAUGGUGAAGAUUCGCAGGUAAUGUGUGCAAAGAUCAGAUUCACUCGAACGUAGAAGCCAGUAGGGAAAAACUAGAGGAAUAGUGUGAAGAAGAACGUCUGUACUGUGCGAAGUUUGUUAUUAAUCGUGCGAAUGUUCAUUGAAGGAAUCAUGUGUUUUAGUUUCAAGAAUAGAAGUUAUAGAAAAAAGGGAGAAAGAUUAACUUAUAUUUAUGAAUCGAGUAAAGAAGAUAAUUAAUAUACGAUAAAGAAUGUGUUUAUCGAUAAAUAAUGUGGAAACGAGUGAGAAAAAAACAACGUGAAGAGAGGGACGUUAUCGGGCCGAACUUUACACCGGAAACAAGUGUUCGUUCGAAGUUUCUUGUGUGCGUAAACGUAUAAACAACAAGGUUUUUUGGAAAUGCUUCACGUUCAGCUUGCCGACACACCGUUAAAGCGUGUUGUGAACCUUAAAGGUAACGUGAAGAUGUAAUCGUUUGGGUUCUUAGAAAUUAUAGCAAAUAAAUUGAAUCGAUAGAGUGAGAAUCUUUCGUAGUGUACGUGUGGCGUUGAUCAGUGUUGGUCUUGUUUCAACUCAGAGUUGGAUUUUUUUUACAGUGUUUUAAUUAAGUGGUUAUCAACUACUAGCGAGAUAAUUGUCGUUUAACGGAAGCAAUUUUUCAACGUUUUUCCUUCUCUUCUUCGAUGAAGAUCGGAUAAGCUCGAAGAAUGCCAGACGCGACUGGCAUGUUGGAAUUCACAUAUCGGAUCGGUUCGGUUACGAUUAACGUGGUGGGAAUAUUGGUCGAGAUCUCGUUCGUAUAAUGAUUGCUCGUUCGAUGAGCUGGCAUUGGCAAAGGUCUUCCUCGAGUAAUGGUUCGAAUUUUGUUGAAAUAGUUGGUAUUUUUAGUUCGGUAACACUGAUUUUUGCGAUAACGGUAACGUUUUGGUUGCAUUUCGAAGUAGUGCAGAAAAAUAUUACUAUUCUUCAUUCUUUUGGUUCGGUUCGAGUCGGUGGAUUGUGAAAAUGUCGAGAGUUCGGUUCGAGAUCUUGUAAUGGUUUGUUUCGAUGAGCUAGUAUCGAUGAAAUUUAAUUCGAUUUCUGUUUUAUUGUUGUUUUGGGUUUCGAAGUCUCGAAGUAUUAACUAUUGUGAUGAAAUGUGAUGUUAACGAUAGAAAUUAAUUCGUGUUUGGAUUUUAUUUUAGUAUCGGCGAUGUGUAGUUAUUAACGAAGUACUCGUUUCAGGUGAAGAUUGCGAAUACGAGUUCGGUGCCAUCAUCUGUUGUUCCAGUGCUAGAAUUCAUACAGAGAUUUGUCUACGAAAACGAUGAAAUUCAAAGCCAACGAGACAUCGCUACGUUAAUCAUUCCAAGUCCAAGUAAAUCUGCGGCGAACCACGUUAGAAAUUGACCUUUAAAAUACUCCUCUCGAAGUGAUCUUAUUCUUAGAAAUUGUCGAUACGUGUGUGUGUGUGUGAGCGAAUGAACGAAGACUUCGCCAAAGCUAAACGAUACGAACAUCUUCAACGAGACGAAGGUAUUAGUCUGAUAAUUGUGUUGUAUCCGUUUAGGUUUCAUUAGAAAGCAUUUUCACUCGAUAAGACACUGAUUGUUUUAUUAAUGUUGGUUGUGGCAGCGACAGCGGUAUGUUGGAUCUUACUCGAACGUUAUCGUGUUUCGGUCUUGUGUGUUUUUUUUUUUGAAAGAGUUUGCAAUUUACCAAGAAUCGAGGUAGCUGGGCGGUAACAUGCGAGGAAUGUGCUGACGAGAUAAUACCAACAUUCAGCGGUAUGGUGCUUAUUUUGCGAAUAGCGAGUAUGUCGAUUACUGACCGGUGUGCGGUUUUAUUCGAUUAGGUGAACGAACCGACGAAUAUGUUAGAUCGGUGCUGGUGAUUUAUUAUAGUAUAGAUACGAUGAGGCAGAGCGAGUUAUAAUGAACGGUUGUGUAUUGUAAAUUUCAUCUUGUGUGUUGCAGUUUGCUGUUCGUUCGAUCCGGUCAACGUAUUCAUCUUUACGUAGCUUCGAUUGACAUUGAUUCGAAACUGGUUUUCACGGUGAUCUGCGGAUUUAUCGAAUGUUCUGAGAUCAUUGUGAAAGCUAAUUUCGUUCAUAUAUUCUACGUUGUGUUUAGUAUUACACUAGGUUACCGGAUACUAUUGUAUAGUGAUCAAUUAACUUUCGUAGAUUUUAAUAAGCAUUGGUAGUUACUAGUUACUUAUGUCUAGACUCUAGUUUAUUAGAGAUUUCGGGUGUUGGAAUCUGAAACUUGAUGUAUCUGGUGUGUACUGUGAAAUUAUACCGAUGUAUGUAUUGUAAUUGCUAUAAUUAGACUUGUACCGUAGAUUAUUACUCUAAAUGAGCCUCUCUAUCGAUCGAUACCUAUCAAUAUCAAAUCGAAAUGCUUCAAAUUUUAUAAUACAGCGAAGAAUUAGAAAAAUUAUUCAAUACCGAAGCUAUGAUAAGUUUUCGAGUUCGACUAGUGUUAUCAGUAUUAAUAUUUCUACCACUAUUUAUAAUCUAUGUUGUGCAUUUUCGAAUCGUAAUCAUGUUGAAAGAAUGCGUAAAUGGUCGUAAGACGAUAAAUUAACGUUUAAUUAUCGUUUAUUAGUAAAUAAAUAAAGAAAAAAUCUAAAAAAUGCAUUCCAUAAAUUUUCUAAAAUCUUCAGAAGUCAGAAAUAUUAAUUUUUUCGUAAUUCUUACUAAUUACCGAAACAUUACGUAAUCGCGGAGGCACCUGUUGCGAAAAAAAACCUCCCCAUCGAUGACCUUUGAUUACGCGAUGAAUCAGCCAAUCGGAAUCCACCCUUACGAUUUUGAACGAUUAUGGUUAUGAUAAAACACGACGUUUCUUGCAGUUUCGUGCUGGUUGUUAAUUUUUAAGUUAUUUCAUUGAAUUUUAGUAUCAUUUAACGUAAAUUAUCGCGAAUUAGUGAUUAAUAUUGAACUAUCGGUGUUUAAAGAUGUUAAUAAUACUCGUAACCGGAUAUUUUAAUUCGAAAUAAUGUAUUAUUUUUAGUCGACGUAGUCGUCCUAUCGAUGUUGGGAAAAUUCCAGCGAUGGCGUUCGCUUAAAACUAUGUCAUUGGAUCGUAAAAAAAAAUGCGUAAGUACUGAUAAACUCAGUGAUUAAUUUAACGGCGAAGCUGACAACGUAUUUAGUUAGAAAUAAGGUGUAAAUUUUAUGAUAUAAGGUACAAUGUGUAGAGAUAGCUGCGACCGUAACCACCGCCGCUGUGCCAUUUUACAGUUUCUUGUUCAACGAUUUGUAUUUGGAAAUGGAAAACCACCAAAUUGCGAUGUACUCGGUUCGAUAAUCCGUAGAGGCGGCCGAAAUUACUGUAUCGAAGAUAGCUCGGUAAUAAAAAAUUAAUAAUCUGUGGCAUAUCGAAUGUGAAGAAGAAAAAAUAGGGGCAUAGGGUAUUAAAAAUUUCAUAUGAGAUGGAAUGUGGCCGGCGGCGGUCUGGCGCUGCUCUACGAACAUCGUUCUAUAAUAUGAUUAUCGAAAACAACGAAUAGACAGUUGAGUCGUUUGAAUUGUUGUAGUAUAUUUACGUGAACUUUGCGCUUUUAUAUUACGGAAUGUAGAAGAAAUUAAUCACGAUUAAUGAAAAUAAUUGCAAUUAAUGGUUCGCGCCGAUUCGACGAUGGUGAAUGCAAGUUUAUAUACUUAUUCUUGUAUGUUAUGGUAAUGUAGGUUGACAAUGAGUUGUGUUUUAUAGGGUCGUUAGUUGAGGUCGAUUUGAGUUGCCAGUUGUGUGUAUGUGUGAGAAAUUGGAAAUAGGAAUCUAGAUUCUGGUUGUGUAUUAUAGAAUUACCAUUACACGAACCCAGCAACGAUGAUGAUCGUAAAGGUAUUAUGGUGAGAUGGUGAAUUGGAAUGGAAUGUGUUUGUUUAGCGCAUUUUUGUGUUUGCAUGCGAAAAGAAAUAAAGAAAAUUCCAAGCUGGGUCGUUGGUAUUGUUGAAGUAGUCUGUGUUUAGCUUAGGUUGUUUGAUAUUUAGUAGGUAAGGUACCUAUAUAGGUACGUAGAAACGAGAUGGAGUAACUUUUAAAUAUUUAGAGUACACUCGAGAGUCGAGACGAUGAAAUGACGAAACGAGCACUUUGGAAAUAUUCCGUUCUCGGGGCUUUUUUUUUCUUUAGUUUUAUCUUAACCGAAAAUAUUCCCAGCUUUGAGAGCUUUUAUCUCUCCGGUGUACCUACUCAGAGGAGAAUUUCAUUACGAAUGAUGACUAAUUUUGAAAAUAAGCUGUGUGUUUUGUUUGGUAGUAUUUAUUCUAAAUAUCUAACAAUCAAAUACAAAUAAAUAAAAAUAGAAAUGCAAGCGACAUCAAACAAUAGUUGUUUAAAUAGGUAUAUGAAAUGUAUAAAAAUAUUUAAAUUAAUAUUUAGGUAGGAGUUUUUUUUUCAACUGAAGAUAGCUCGAGUUGAAAUCAUUGCUUUUGGAAUGAAAGAUGAUGAAUAGUUAUUAAAAAAUAGUUCGGUUUGCGUUAAUGGUGAUUUUUAUGGGUCGAGAAUGAUUCAAUUCUUCCAUGAAAAAAAGAGGUGUUUUUGGGAAGGAAAGUUUCUUUGCACAUUUGUUCGUUGUAUUUUGUGCCAUUUCAGUUCGAUUCGGAAUGAUUUCAAAAAAUGCAGAUUCGAUAAUUAUUUUUAGACAUUAUUUGUUAUAAUUUCAUAUACGAGUAGGUCACGAAUGAAUUAAAUGAAUUUGAUUCUGAGUUCGGCUGAUGAUUCAGUUUGGGCAAUGGGCAGUUAUAAUUUAGUCAAAAAGUAAUUUCUGUAUCCUGUCCUUUUUUUCAGUUAUUUUUAAUU